Molecule: ribosomal RNA, 465 nt
Filed under: Vreelandella stevensii
Lineage: Bacteria; Pseudomonadati; Pseudomonadota; Gammaproteobacteria; Oceanospirillales; Halomonadaceae
Description: partial 16S ribosomal RNA
Rfam family: Bacterial small subunit ribosomal RNA
Source: RNAcentral
CCUACGGGUGGCAGCAGUGGGGAAUAUUGGACAAUGGGGGCAACCCUGAUCCAGCCAUGCCGCGUGUGUGAAGAAGGCCCUCGGGUUGUAAAGCACUUUCAGUGAGGAAGAACGCCUGGUGGUUAAUACCCAUCAGGAAAGACAUCACUCACAGAAGAAGCACCGGCUAACUCCGUGCCAGCAGCCGCGGUAAUACGGAGGGUGCGAGCGUUAAUCGGAAUUACUGGGCGUAAAGCGCGCGUAGGUGGCUUGAUAAGCCGGUUGUGAAAGCCCCGGGCUCAACCUGGGAACGGCAUCCGGAACUGUGAAGCUAGAGUGCAGGAGAGGAAGGUAGAAUUCCCGGUGUAGCGGUGAAAUGCGUAGCGAUCGGGAGGAAUACCAGUGGCGAAGGCGGCCUUCUGGACUGACACUGACACUGAGGUGCGAAAGCGUGGGUAGCAAACAGGAUUAGAUACCCCGGUAGUC